UUCCGUAGGGUGAACCUGCGGAGGGAUCAUUACCGAGUUUACAACUCCCAAACCCCUGUGAACAUACCUAUACGUUGCCUCGGCGGAUCAGCCCGCGCCCCGUAAAACGGGACGGCCCGCCCGAGGACCCCUAAACUCUGUUUUUAGUGGAACUUCUGAGUAAAACAAACAAAUAAAUCAAAACUUUCAACAACGGAUCUCUUGGUUCUGGCAUCGAUGAAGAACGCAGCAAAAUGCGAUAAGUAAUGUGAAUUGCAGAAUUCAGUGAAUCAUCGAAUCUUUGAACGCACAUUGCGCCCGCCAGUAUUCUGGCGGGCAUGCCUGUUCGAGCGUCAUUUCAACCCUCAAGCUCAGCUUGGUGUUGGGACUCGCGGUAACCCGCGUUCCCCAAAUCGAUUGGCGGUCACGUCGAGCUUCCAUAGCGUAGUAAUCAUACACCUCGUUACUGGUAAUCGUCGCGGCCACGCCGUUAAACCCCAACUUCUGAAUGUGACCUCGAUCAGUAGAACCCCCCGC
Molecule: ribosomal RNA, 516 nt
Filed under: Fusarium culmorum
Lineage: Eukaryota; Fungi; Ascomycota; Sordariomycetes; Hypocreales; Nectriaceae
Description: eukaryotic LSU rRNA
Rfam family: 5.8S ribosomal RNA (bases 182-335)
Source: RNAcentral